GACGUAGGGCGCGAGCGUUGUCCGGAUUUAUUGGGCGUAAAGAGCUCGUAGGCGGUUUGUCGCGUCGACUGUGAAAGCCCGGGGCUCAACUCCGGGUCUGCAGUCGAUACGGGCAGACUAGAGUUCGGUAGGGGAGACUGGAAUUCCUGGUGUAGCGGUGAAAUGCGCAGAUAUCAGGAGGAACACCGGUGGCGAAGGCGGGUCUCUGGGCCGAUACUGACGCUGAGGAGCGAAAGCGUGGGGAGCGAACAGG
RNAcentral lists this ribosomal RNA (253 nucleotides) under uncultured bacterium. RNAcentral's name for it is "partial 16S ribosomal RNA". It matches the Rfam family "Bacterial small subunit ribosomal RNA", at positions 524 to 776 of the family's 1533-position model. The record is from RNAcentral.